AGAUUUCCGAAUUUGACUAUAUAAGUAGCUUCAAAUCUCUAUACCUAUUCCAAAAUCAUCCAAAUAAACAAGAUUUAAAAAAACGAAAAAUAGAGAGGGAUGGAUAUUCGGAGAUCUCAAUAUCCUUUCAUUGCAGUUUCUAUCAUUCUACUGUUCUUGAUCACAGGAUCAGAAGCAAGGUCAGAAAAUGAUGAAUUUUGUCCAGGGGUAUGUUCACAUGGACUUAAGCCAGACUGCAACACAUUGUGCCGUACUAGCUACGGAUUCUCGGGGGGCUAUUGUAAAGGAAUACAAUGUUGUUGCAAGCUACAUUCUCAAAUAUCCCAACUCCAUGAUUGAUAUUUUAUAUUUCUGAAUAAACACAUAAAAAUGAUUCAAGUU
Molecule: non-coding RNA, 381 nt
Organism: Camelina sativa (false flax)
Lineage: Eukaryota; Viridiplantae; Streptophyta; Magnoliopsida; Brassicales; Brassicaceae
Source: RefSeq, a predicted model, not a curated record